GUGGGGAAUAUUGGACAAUGGGGGGAACCCUGAUCCAGCCAUGCCGCGUGUGUGAAGAAGGCCUUUUGGUUGUAAAGCACUUUAAGCGAGGAGGAGGCUACCGAGAUUAAUACUCUUGGAUAGUGGACGUUACUCGCAGAAUAAGCACCGGCUAACUCUGUGCCAGCAGCCGCGGUAAUACAGAGGGUGCAAGCGUUAAUCGGAUUUACUGGGCGGAAAGCGCGCGUAGGUGGCCAAUUAAGUCAAAUGUGAAAUCCCCGAGCUUAACUUGGGAAUUGCAUUCGAUACUGGUUGGCUAGAGUAUGGGAGAGGAUGGUAGAAUUCCAGGUGUAGCGGUGAAAUGCGUAGAGAUCUGGAGGAAUACCGAUGGCGAAGGCAGCCAUCUGGCCUAAUACUGACACUGAGGUGCGAAAGCAUGGGGAGCAAACAGGAUUAGAAACCCCUGUAGUCC
RNAcentral lists this ribosomal RNA (451 nucleotides) under uncultured bacterium. RNAcentral's name for it is "partial 16S ribosomal RNA". It matches the Rfam family "Bacterial small subunit ribosomal RNA", at positions 354 to 796 of the family's 1533-position model. The record is from RNAcentral.